Molecule: long non-coding RNA, 488 nt
Organism: Hemicordylus capensis (graceful crag lizard)
Lineage: Eukaryota; Metazoa; Chordata; Lepidosauria; Squamata; Cordylidae
Exons: 3
Source: RefSeq, a predicted model, not a curated record
AGGCAGAAUAUCCAACUGGAAAAUUCUAAAUGGAACAGCUGUACAAUAUGGUAGAUGCAUCAUAUUGCAACAGGAUCUGAGGAGGAGUGAUUUUCUGCAUUAGUGGUGACACAUCGGAAGGGCACUGUGUUACAACUGCCGGGGUUGGUGGGGAGGAGGUCUUUUAAAGUGCUGCCACUGUGACUGCCCAGAAGACAGCCUUAGAAAAAGCUUGCUUCAUGAAUUCAGAGAGCAUUCUUCUGGCAGCAAGACUGAAUAAAGAGCAGGAGCCACAAUCAUUUGGAGGGAUGAAGAGGGAGAAAUAGAGCAAUAUGGGGAGCUGAAGAAGGCUUCUUUUCCUAAAGGCUAAAGAAGAGUGUAAUUGUGAAAAACAUCAAAAAAUAAUAAUAAAAGGAUUCAAAAGAUUGUCAUAUCAAUCAACUGGCUUCAGUUAAAAAGAGGAGAAUUGGAUGUGGUGAGAACUGAAAAUAUGCUCAGGGGAAGAAGUG